AACGCACAUUGCGCCUCCUGGUAUUCCGGGAGGCAUGCCUGUUCGAGCGUCAUUAAAAACCACUCAAGCUCUUUUGCUUGGUCAUGGAAGAUGAGUGCGCCUAGCGUCCUCCCUUUCGAAAUACAAUGGCGGAAAGCUCCAUGUGCCCCGGCGUAGUAAGUUUUUCUUUCGCUUGGAACAUGAGGUGAUCCUGCCACAAACCCCCAAUUUUUCUAGGUUGACCUCGGAUCAGGUAGGGAUACCCGCUGAACUUAA
Molecule: unclassified non-coding RNA, 255 nt
Filed under: uncultured Pyronemataceae
Lineage: Eukaryota; Fungi; Ascomycota; Pezizomycetes; Pezizales; Pyronemataceae
Description: sequence contains ITS2
Rfam family: 5.8S ribosomal RNA (bases 1-52)
Source: RNAcentral